RNAcentral lists this transfer RNA (28 nucleotides) under Picea glauca (white spruce). Its description in RNAcentral is "partial tRNA-His". RNAcentral also lists the same sequence under 3 other names. Lineage: Eukaryota; Viridiplantae; Streptophyta; Pinopsida; Pinales; Pinaceae. The record is from RNAcentral.
CGGACGUAGCCAAGUGGACCAAGGCAGU